CGAGUAUUCCCUCCGUCCGAAAAAGCUUGUCCUGAGUUUGUCCCUCAAAUGGAUGUAUCUAGCACUAACGUGGUGCUAGAUACAUCCAUUUGAGGGACAAGCUUUUUCGGACGGAGGGAGUAGUUG
Triticum aestivum (bread wheat) is the source of this 126-nucleotide non-coding RNA. The record is from Rfam. Lineage: Eukaryota; Viridiplantae; Streptophyta; Magnoliopsida; Poales; Poaceae.